Molecule: non-coding RNA, 108 nt
Filed under: Bacillus sp. (in: firmicutes)
Lineage: Bacteria; Bacillati; Bacillota; Bacilli; Caryophanales; Bacillaceae
Also listed under: 1 other name
Description: Bacillus sp. SAM-I sequence
Rfam family: SAM riboswitch aptamer (S box leader)
About the family: The SAM riboswitch is found upstream of a number of genes which code for proteins involved in methionine or cysteine biosynthesis in Gram-positive bacteria. The SAM riboswitch acts at the level of transcription termination control.
Source: RNAcentral
UUCUUAUUAUGAGAGGCGGAGGGACUGGCCCUGCGAUGCCUCGGCAGCGGACUUUUUUAAAGAGUGCUGUGCCAAAUCCAGCAAGCUCCAGAGCUUGGAAGAUAAGAA